GAGUUUGAUCCUGGCUCAGGAUGAACGCUAGCUACAGGCUUAACACAUGCAAGUCGAGGGGUAACAUGAUAAAAGCUUGCUUUUAUUGAUGACGACCGGCGCACGGGUGCGUAACACGUAUUUAACUUGCCACACACUCAGGGAUAGCCUUUUGAAAGAGAGAUUAAUACCUGAUAGUAUAAUUAAUUCGCAUGUUUUGAUUAUUAAAGAUUUAUUGGUGUGUGAUAGGAAUGCGUUCCAUUAGAUAGUAGGUGAGGUAACGGCCCACCUAGUCUACGAUGGAUAGGGGUUCUGAGAGGAAGAUCCCCCACAUUGGAACUGAGACACGGUCCAAACUCCUACGGGAGGCAGCAGUGAGGAAUAUUGGUCAAUGGGCGAGAGCCUGAACCAGCCAAGUAGCGUGAAGGAUGACUGCCCUAUGGGUUGUAAACUUCUUUUAUAAGAGAAUAAAGUCAGUUACGUGUAACUGUUUGCAUGUAUCUUAUGAAUAAGGAUCGGCUAACUCCGUGCCAGCAGCCGCGGUAAUACGGAGGAUCCGAGCGUUAUCCGGAUUUAUUGGGUUUAAAGGGUGCGUAGGUGGAAGUAUAAGUCAGUUGUGAAAGUUUACGGCUCAACCGUGAAAUUGCAAUUGAAACUGUAUUUCUUGAGUGUACAUGAGGUAGGCGGAAUUCGUGGUGUAGCGGUGAAAUGCUUAGAUAUCACGAAGAACUCCAAUUGCGAAGGCAGCUUACUAAGGUACAACUGACACUGAGGCACGAAAGUGUGGGUAUCAAACAGGAUUAGAUACCCUGGUAGUCCACACAGUAAACGAUGAAUACUCGCUGUUUGCGAUACACUGCAAGCGGCUAAGCGAAAGCAUUAAGUAUUCCACCUGGGGAGUACGCCGGCAACGGUGAAACUCAAAGGAAUUGACGG
This 915-nucleotide ribosomal RNA is filed under the name uncultured bacterium. Its description in RNAcentral is "bacterial SSU rRNA". It matches the Rfam family "Bacterial small subunit ribosomal RNA", at positions 9 to 916 of the family's 1533-position model. The record is from RNAcentral.